CCCCGCCCCGCCGCCGCCGCCGCCGCCGUCGCGCGCCGCUUUCCCCAGUUCAGGCCUUGGGCCUCCUUGCGGAACCGCCGCCGUUGGGGAUAUCUUGAAAAUCUGUCCUUGGAUUAUAAAGCAGAGCUCUGUUGAAUACAAAACAGAAGAUUUUAUAUUUUAUCUUGGAGGUGAUGGAGAGCUACUGGAAUUUACUAAGUAUAGGGAUCCAUGAGACAUCUGGGACCAGGCUGAGAGGGGAGAGAAGAGCUGCUAUUCUUCAACAGUACCAGCUGCCAGCCCUUGCAGAGUGCAGAAGAGCCAGGUCCAACCAUUUCUGUCCAUUUCCAAACAUUUCUUUAUGAUUUUUACAAGUUGUAAUAACCCAUUUUGUGUGUGGGGGUUCCUAUUAUAAAUGCUGAAAAGUUAAAAGUCACUGUUUAGGUUAAAUCUCUGCUUCACAAAUGGAAUCCUGGGGCAGGAAGGGAUUCCCGAGUUAACAAAGAAUCAACACUUCUCAGAAACUUGGCAACAAAUCUACAUUCAGUACAAGGAUUCGAAAAGUGACAAGAACCUAAAGCUUGGUUUGUAUGACACUCUGGUUCAACUGAUUGUGGAAGGAUGACAGAUGAAAUUCAAGCAGCAUGCAGGCAUUUAAAUAGAGAGUAAUCCAAUUAGAUAAUAAGGAUGCUUAUGAAAGUGCUUCAUUCCUUGAUUUGUGAUUUUGGGUUAUGCAUCCAAGGUGUCUAACAUAUAACUUAAAAAAUGAAAGCAGGUAA
Long non-coding RNA from Sarcophilus harrisii (Tasmanian devil), 758 nucleotides. RefSeq lists it as uncharacterized. Lineage: Eukaryota; Metazoa; Chordata; Mammalia; Dasyuromorphia; Dasyuridae. The transcript has 3 exons. The record is from RefSeq and is a predicted model, not a curated record.